ACAGGCUUCGACGGGAGAGGCUGGUUCCGAAAUGCGAGCCGAGAGUGUACCGAACUCGUAAAAUCAGUACAAAAACUCAAGUGCCAACAAAAGCACUUCAUACGCUGCUAUGCCCCUCGCUGCAUAAGCGAACCCAUAACAGUAUGAUGUCUUAGGACAUCACGUCUGCCGUUACCGCCCACUAUCGGGUGACGAGUCAGGCGAGACAAAGAUAGUGUGCCGUGCAUGACUCUGCUAAAUGCACGAAAGACUAGCAGAUGGUCACAGGUUUACUAGCCCGCUGAGAUGCCUGUGAUGACGAAAAUCAGCAGGCUACGCUCGUAGAGUUUCGAGAGUCGAAUCUUUCGGACGCGGGUUCUUUAACAACUGAAUAGAGCCCCCU
RNAcentral lists this transfer-messenger RNA (382 nucleotides) under Anaerolineales bacterium. It matches the Rfam family "transfer-messenger RNA". From Rfam's summary of the family: Bacterial tmRNA, also known as 10Sa RNA or SsrA, is named for its dual tRNA and mRNA-like properties. Its role is to liberate the mRNA from a stalled ribosome. To accomplish this part of the tmRNA is used as a reading frame that ends in a translation stop signal. The record is from RNAcentral. Lineage: Bacteria; Bacillati; Chloroflexota; Anaerolineae; Anaerolineales.